This 455-nucleotide ribosomal RNA is filed under the name uncultured bacterium. RNAcentral's name for it is "bacterial SSU rRNA". It matches the Rfam family "Bacterial small subunit ribosomal RNA", at positions 340 to 786 of the family's 1533-position model. The record is from RNAcentral.
UACGGGAGGCAGCAGUGGGGAAUAUUGGACAAUGGGCGCAAGCCUGAUCCAGCCAUGCCGCGUGUGUGAAGAAGGCCUUCGGGUUGUAAAGCACUUUUGUCCGGAAAGAAAAGCUUAGGGUUAAUAACCUUGAGUCAUGACGGUACCGGAAGAAUAAGCACCGGCUAACUUCGUGCCAGCAGCCGCGGUAAUACGAAGGGUGCAAGCGUUACUCGGAAUUACUGGGCGUAAAGCGUGCGUAGGUGGUUUGUUAAGUCUGAUGUGAAAGCCCUGGGCUCAACCUGGGAAUGGCAUUGGAAACUGGCUUACUAGAGUGCGGUAGAGGGGUGUGGAAUUCCCGGUGUAGCAGUGAAAUGCGUAGAUAUCGGGAGGAACAUCUGUGGCGAAGGCGACACCCUGGGACCAGCACUGACACUGAGGCACGAAAGCGUGGGGAGCAAACAGGAUUAGAUACC